AGUCUUAUAUUCAAAUAUGAUAUUAAAUUGCAAAUUUAAAGGUAACAAUAAGUUUAAGGCUU
Molecule: transfer RNA, 62 nt
Filed under: Staphylinoidea sp. 13 KM-2017
Lineage: Eukaryota; Metazoa; Arthropoda; Insecta; Coleoptera
Description: tRNA-Cys
Source: RNAcentral